Molecule: ribosomal RNA, 253 nt
Filed under: uncultured bacterium
Lineage: Bacteria
Description: partial 16S ribosomal RNA
Rfam family: Bacterial small subunit ribosomal RNA
Source: RNAcentral
UACGGGGGGGGCAAGCGUUGUUCGGAAUUACUGGGCGUAAAGGGCUCGUAGGCGGCCAACUAAGUCAGACGUGAAAUCCCCAGGCUCAACCUGGGAACUGCGUCUGAUACUGGAUGGCUUGAAUUCGGGAGAGGGAGGCAGAAUUCCAGGUGUAGCGGUGAAAUGCGUAGAUAUCUGGAGGAAUACCGGUGGCGAAGGCGGCAUCCUGGACCGACAUUGACGCUGAGGAGCGAAAGCUAGGGGAGCAAACGGG